AGCUCCAAUAGCGUAUAUUAAAGUUGUUGCAGUUAAAAAGCUCGUAGUCGGAUUUCUGGUUGGAGGGAUCGGUCUUGCCUCACGGCGAGAACUGUGUCCUUUUGACCAUCCUUGGACGGAUCCUGUCUGGCAUUAAGUUGUCGGGUAGGGAAAGUUCAUCAUUUACUGUGAGAAAAUUAGAGUGUUCAAAGCAGGCUUAUGCCUUGAAUAUAUUAGCAUGGAAUAACAACAUAGGACUUCAGUACUAUUUUGUUGGUUUGCGCACUGAGGUAAUGAUCAACAGGGACAGUUGGGGGUAUUGGUAUUCUAGUGUCAGAGGUGAAAUUCUUAGAUUACUGGAAGACUAACUACUGCGAAAGCAUUUACCAAGGAUGUUUUCAUUG
RNAcentral lists this ribosomal RNA (383 nucleotides) under Bacteriastrum sp. RNAcentral describes it as "partial small subunit ribosomal RNA". It matches the Rfam family "Eukaryotic small subunit ribosomal RNA", at positions 587 to 975 of the family's 1831-position model. Lineage: Eukaryota; Bacillariophyta; Thalassiosirophyceae; Chaetocerotales; Chaetocerotaceae. The record is from RNAcentral.